This 395-nucleotide ribosomal RNA is filed under the name uncultured bacterium. RNAcentral describes it as "partial 16S ribosomal RNA". It matches the Rfam family "Bacterial small subunit ribosomal RNA", at positions 523 to 918 of the family's 1533-position model. The record is from RNAcentral.
AUACGUAGGGUGCAAGCGUUAAUCGGAAUUACUGGGCGUAAAGCGUGCGCAGGCGGUUUUGUAAGACAGUGGUGAAAUCCCCGGGCUCAACCUGGGAACUGCCAUUGUGACUGCAAGGCUGGAGUGCGGCAGAGGGGGAUGGAAUUCCGCGUGUAGCAGUGAAAUGCGUAGAUAUGCGGAGGAACACCGAUGGCGAAGGCAAUCCCCUGGGCCUGCACUGACGCUCUUGCACGAAAGCGUGGGGAGCAAACAGGAUUAGAUACCCUGGUAGUCCACGCCCUAAACGAUGUCAACUGGUUGUUGGGGAUUUAUUUUCUCAGUAACGAAGCUAACGCGUGAAGUUGACCGCCUGGGGAGUACGGCCGCAAGGUUAAAACUCAAAUGAAUUGACGGGG